AAAAAAAAAGAAUGAGAUUUUACUACAGGAAACCAAGCAUGUCAAAAUUUGGCAAAGCAAUUUGGAUGAUUUAACAGUUAAACACUUCUCUUUUUAAUGUUAUGCUUUCAUCAGUCUUUUUUAUUUAAGCUUUUCAGUUUUGCAUUCUGUUUGCUGCAAUUAGUGUCCCUUAUCUGUUCACCCCCUACUUUUGAAAGGAAAGUGAGUUUAGGAUCCUGUCUUUAGAGUAUUUUGCUGUGUAAUUUCUAAUGUACUGGUCAAGUAGCUCAACUUAUUUUACAGGUAAAAUUUGUUUUCUUCCACAGAGUUGAGUUUGGAUUUAGAUCUACGGCUCCACGUAUUUGUUUCUCCUGAGACCCAUAUAUUUUGGAGUUCUGAUGACAAGGCAGUUUUUCUUUAGUCUAUUGAUUUAGGAACCCUGACUUAGGAGUGCAUAUGCUGUAACUGAAGUAGUCUGGUGCUUUAACAUUUUCAGCUUCAAACAUGUGUUACCUGACUAGAUGGAAUUCCUUGAGAACUGUAUUAACAUGUUUCAAAGAGUUGAAUUAACAGAUAAAAUGACCUUUUUCUGCUUUGGAGAGAUGGGAUGGAUACCGCAGUUGAUUAAUUACUCCCUACUCCCAGAAAUACUUCUCUUUAGAACCUCAUGGAGUUUCGCUCUUGUUGCCCAGGCUGGAGUGCAAUGCUGCGAUCUCGGCUCACCGUAACCUCCGCUUCUGGGGUUCAAGUGAUUCUCCUGCCUCAGCCUCCCAAGUAGCUAGGAUUACAGGCUGGAGUGGCAUCAUCUCAGCUCACUGCAACCUCUGCCUCCCGGGUUCAAGCAAUUCUCCUGCGUCAGCCUCCCGAGUAGUUGGGAUUACAGGCGCCUGCCACCACGCCUAAAUGGUGGUGUCCAAUGAUGUCUCCACGCAGCUGGACUUUUUCUUGGAUGCUCUUUUGGUUGACAUUGAAUCCACAGAGAUUUCUGGCUUCAUGGAUGGCCAAACACUGAAAACUUCCAGACACACUUGAAUAAGAAGAGAAGGGGCCUGUAUUGCAAGGCUAUUACAGAGGCGGCUAAGACUGCCAAGCAGCUGACCUCCGAAGUACAGGCUCUGAAGUAAAGGCUCCAUUGACAGUUUGAAACAUAAACACAGUAAGGUAAUAAAUGUGGGAGGUAUGCAGAAAUCAGAAAAUAUUCUACUCAUCAAGAAUGUGGCAAGUUACAACCACAAAAUGAAAAUAGAAACAGAAUAGAAAUAUCAAGAUAAGGGACAACUAAGAGACUAAGGAAAUAUGACAGGCUGCCUAGUCCACUCACAUGGAGGCUACUUGUGAAGCCAGAUAACGCACACAGAUAUGCUGAAUUCUUGGAGUCUGGCAGCAAAGGAGGAGUUUGCUAUUUCUGAGGAGCUAAUCCAUGAGGAGAAAGGAGACAGUUAACAGCAUCUAAGAGAGUAAGAAAACCCAAAAGAUUUUUAUUCUUUAUGUUUGAUUGCAGUACGUACAAAGAGUUUAGCUUAUUAGCUUUUCAAUGAUUACCUAAUAUUAGCAAAUCACUCAUAGUAAUUCAUUUCAGGAACAAAUUAGAAUAAAGCAAUGCAUCUAUAUCUCUUGAAACAACAACAACAAAAAGAAUUUGGAAAAACUUGGUAGCCUUUCUGCAUUUUAAACAAAAGUCUAUAUAAAGAAAAAUAUAACAAAAGUAUAUAAACAUUAUGUUAAAACUACUACAAACCUAUAGUAAUUAGCUUAAUAAAUAUUAAUGGUAUAAAGCAGGCUGUACAAAUUGAAUUGUUUUUGAAGUUAUAUCUAACAAUAAUACAAGAAAAUGAAGUAAUAUAAAUCAGAUAUAAGGAUUAUUUUACAUUUUGUAUAUUGUUACAUACCUAUAAAAAUCUCUUAGAAAUAUUUUGACGUUUAUAUGAAGAAAAGCUAUUACUCAUAUUUAAAAUUUAUAAGACAUUAUAUAUCAUAGCAGAAUACAUAAUAAAUAUGUAGAAACCAAUAACUUUCCUCAAUGGUAGUAAUAAUCAGUUAGCAAUAAAAAAGAAAAAAUAAAAUUUAGACCACCACAUUAAGGGCUAGCAGUUUAUAGAGUAAGAUGCUGUUCAGUAUGUUCAAGGCACAGGGACAAAAGUAACUAUAAUCAAAAGAAUAACAUUUUUCACCAAUCUGCUAAGAUGAAAAUUGUUGCAUUUAUUUAGAUUUUGUUUACAGUGUUGCACCUAAACAACUUGUUCAUGAGGGUGAAUGUACCUAUCGAACCUUUUUGGUUUUUUUUUUUUUUUUAUAGCAUUAAGUGUAUUAACAUCAUUUUAAACAGGUGAACACAAGUAUAGUGCUUUUUGUUGACCUAUACUAACACAUGAAUACUGCAGAGCAAUCCUAGGGUAGGAUGGGGGAAAGGAAAUAGAGAAAUGCCUUCACUGCUCUCUGUGAAAAAUGAAUGUCUUCAACAUGAUAUGUUUUGCUAAUUUUUUAAAUUUUAUAGGCCAGAAGAAAAGCUUAGAUAUUUUCAUAAUAUUUGUUAUUGACCAAGUAGGGAUUCAAGUAGUUAGGAUAGUAGCCAUAAUACCAAUUAAUUGAUAAAGCCAAUAAAUUAAUACUGCUAAAAUUCUUCUUUUAGAGUUUGUUUAGGCAUUCCUAAUUUCCACUUCUACCCUCUCAAAUAUCUGGAUGUUUUCACGUUCUUAAAUAAGGAGCCAGUAGAAAACCAGAAGCUUGCACCAUUGAGUAUAGAAAAAAGAGUAUUAAGAAAUGAAAAAAAUUAAAGGCACAUAUUAAAAGGGUCACAGCAUAAUCCCUAGAAGUGUUUAAUUUUGAGCACAACUGUACCCUGAAGACCCCAGGAAAUGAUAUGCUUUUUCCCACCAGCAACACAGUCACUUGAGAAUUUCUUUCACACCUCCAUUAGAAAAAAAGACAGGGCAUACCGCUUAAUAUUGUUGUUAUCUAAACCACACGUGGUAGUUUAUAUUUUGCACAGAAAACCCAAAUAAUAAGUCAAAUUUAUUUUUACAAAAGUAAUUUAUUUGUUCUACUAAUAAAAGUAACUGUUGAUCAUUUGUGCCAAUCACCAUGCUAAGCAUUUAAACAAAAUUAUCUCAUUUUUACUCUCCCAGUGACCCAAGAUGUUAUUGUCCAAUUUUACAGAUGAGAAUAGUAAAUAUAUGGGGCUUAUGGAAGUUGGCUAAGUGUAUGCACAGCUAGGAAGUGGUGGAAAUACGAUUCAAAUUUAGAUUUAACUCCAAAGUUUUAAGUUCUAAACUGCAAUGCAAUACUGCCUUUUCCAUAGAAGACUUUUGAUUCUAGAGAAUUUAAGUCAACUCAUUUGUUUACAUAGUCAAAAAUUAAAAUUCCAGAUAUACUGAAAUUUUUAGUAUUGAUGGAAAUUCACUGUAUAGUAGAUUGAUCACCCUGCCAGAAAUAGUUCAAAAAGCUGACUAUUUCUAUUAGCUUCUAAAACUGAAGAGAGGUCCAUUCUUUGUAAGACCCUUUUUUUAAAAAAAGAAAAAAAAUCACAAUUUUAGGGCCAUUCUAUUAGUGAUGGUUAAUUAAGAAUAAAACUAAAUUCUCAGUUACAUAGAAAUAGUAAAUCCUGAUAUUUUCUCUACUGAAAGAGUGUAAAAAACAAAGCAGCCCAUUUCUUCAGUGUCAUUUAAAUUGAAUUUCUAUGAUAACUUUAGAGUGAAAGUGGAGCUCAUAUGUUAAUAUUUGGCCCUAUGUAAAUUAGACUAUAAAUUUAGUAAGUAAAUUAUUCACUUUUCACCAUAGUUAUAUUUGUUAUGAAAGAAAAAUAAUAGCGGAUAACUUUUUAAAAAAACACUUUUCUUGAUUUUUAUUAUCUCUUGGACACUACCAUACUCAGGACAGCAUUUAUCUUCCUGCACACUAGAAAACUCAUAGCCAAAGGGAUGAGAGAAAAGUCACUUAUAGCCCUCAAGCUGAAAUAGCUUCAGGCUGAUAUGAUGUCAUUAAUACACCUCAGAAUACCUGAUUUUUAAAGUAAUUCUACCAUGCCUUGUAUAUUGUGACUAUACUUAAGAAAUUGGGACAGCUCCAAAAUCAAACUUCUUGAUAAGAUGUAUAAAUCAAGAAUAAUAGUUAUUACUUCUUUGAAAAACUCUUACAAUAAAAAAAUUAUAUUUUUGGCACAAAUUUAGCUAGUAAAGCAUCAUUAUUCAUUUAGUCAACUCAUGGGUUUUUUGCCCUGUUGUAUAUUGCAUUGCAUUAUAUUUAAUUAGGGGUCAAAUCUUGAUUUUGUGAUUGUUAUUUUUCAUGAAAUAAGUAGAUUAUAUUGGUUGUUUUUAGUGUAAAUAACACAUUAAUAAAAGAUGAUGUAAUUAUAGAGCUAUGACAUUUUCUUUUUUUUCUUUUUUUUAUUAUUAUACUUUAAGUUCUAAGGUACAUGUGCAUAACGUUCAGAUUUGUUACAUAUGUAUACAUGUGCCAUGUUGGUGUGCUGCACACAUUAACUUGUCAUUUACAUUAGGUAUAUCUCCUAAUGCUAUCCCUCCCCCCUCCCCCCACCCAACAACAGGCCCAUUGUGUGAUUUUCCCCUUCCUGUGUCCAAGUGUUCUCAUUGUUCACUUCCCACCUAUGUGUGAGAACAUGCACUGUUUGGUUUUUUGUCCUUGCAAUAUUUUGCUAAGAGUGAUGGUUUCCAGCUUCAUCCAUGUCCCUACAAAGGACAUGAACUCAUCAUUUUUUAUGGCUGCAUAGUAUUCCAUGGUGUACAUAUGCCACAUUUUCUUAAUCCAGUCCAUCAUUGUUGGACAUUUGGGUUGGUUCCAGGUCUUUGCUGU
This is a long non-coding RNA of Pan troglodytes (chimpanzee), 4788 nucleotides long. RefSeq lists it as uncharacterized. NCBI's taxonomy places the organism in Eukaryota, Metazoa, Chordata, Mammalia, Primates, Hominidae. The transcript has 9 exons. The record is from RefSeq and is a predicted model, not a curated record.